GAUGAAAACGUAGCGAAAUGCGAUAAGUAAUGUGAAUUGCAGAAUUCAGUGAAUCAUCGAAUCUUUGAACGCACAUUGCGCCCGCCAGUAUUCUGGCGGGCAUGCCUGUUCGAGCGUCAUUACAACCCUCAGGCCCCCGGGCCUGGCGUUGGGGAUCGGCGGAGCCCCCCGUGGGCACACGCCGUCCCCCAAAUGCAGUGGCGGUCCCGCCGCAGCUUCCAUCGCGUAGUAGCUAACACCUCGCGACUGGAGAGCGGCGCGGCCACGCCGUAAAACACCCAACUCUUCUGAAGUUGACCUCGAAUCAGGUAGGAAUACCCGCUGAACUUAAGCAUAUCAAUAAGCGGAGGA
RNAcentral lists this unclassified non-coding RNA (351 nucleotides) under soil metagenome. RNAcentral describes it as "partial contains 5.8S ribosomal RNA, internal transcribed spacer 2, and large subunit ribosomal RNA". The stretch from base 1 to 119 matches the Rfam family "5.8S ribosomal RNA", at positions 35 to 154 of the family's 154-position model. The record is from RNAcentral.